RNAcentral lists this ribosomal RNA (1343 nucleotides) under uncultured bacterium. Its description in RNAcentral is "16S ribosomal RNA". It matches the Rfam family "Bacterial small subunit ribosomal RNA", at positions 28 to 1378 of the family's 1533-position model. The record is from RNAcentral.
GACGAACGCUGGCGGCGUGCUUAACACAUGCAAGUCGAACGGAAAGGCCCUGCUUUUGUGGGGUGCUCGAGUGGCGAACGGGUGAGUAACACGUGAGUAACCUGCCCUUGACUUUGGGAUAACUUCAGGAAACUGGGGCUAAUACCGGAUAGGAGCUCCUGCUGCAUGGUGGGGGUUGGAAAGUUUCGGCGGUUGGGGAUGGACUCGCGGCUUAUCAGCUUGUUGGUGGGGUAGUGGCUUACCAAGGCUUUGACGGGUAGCCGGCCUGAGAGGGUGACCGGCCACAUUGGGACUGAGAUACGGCCCAGACUCCUACGGGAGGCAGCAGUGGGGAAUAUUGCACAAUGGGCGGAAGCCUGAUGCAGCAACGCCGCGUGCGGGAUGACGGCCUUCGGGUUGUAAACCGCUUUCGCCUGUGACGAAGCGUGAGUGACGGUAAUGGGUAAAGAAGCACCGGCUAACUACGUGCCAGCAGCCGCGGUGAUACGUAGGGUGCGAGCGUUGUCCGGAUUUAUUGGGCGUAAAGGGCUCGUAGGUGGUUGAUCGCGUCGGAAGUGUAAUCUUGGGGCUUAACCCUGAGCGUGCUUUCGAUACGGGUUGACUUGAGGAAGGUAGGGGAGAAUGGAAUUCCUGGUGGAGCGGUGGAAUGCGCAGAUAUCAGGAGGAACACCAGUGGCGAAGGCGGUUCUCUGGGCCUUUCCUGACGCUGAGGAGCGAAAGCGUGGGGAGCGAACAGGCUUAGAUACCCUGGUAGUCCACGCUGUAAACGGUGGGUACUAGGUGUGGGGUCCAUUCCACGGGUUCCGUGCCGUAGCUAACGCUUUAAGUACCCCGCCUGGGGAGUACGGCCGCAAGGCUAAAACUCAAAGGAAUUGACGGGGCCCCGCACAAGCGGCGGAGCAUGCGGAUUAAUUCGAUGCAACGCGUAGAACCUUACCUGGGUUUGACAUGGAUCGGGAGUGCUCAGAGAUGGGUGUGCCUCUUUUGGGGUCGGUUCACAGGUGGUGCAUGCCUGUCGUCAGCUCGUGUCGUGAGAUGUUGGGUUAAGUCCCGCAACGAGCGCAACCCUUGUUCACUGUUGCCAGCACGUUAUGGUGGGGACUCAGUGGAGACCGCCGGGGUCAACUCGGAGGAAGGUGGGGAUGACGUCAAGUCCUCAUGCCCCUUAUGUCCAGGGCUUCACGCAUGCUACAAUGGCUGGUACAGAGAGUGGCGAGCCUGUGAGGGUGAGCGAAUCUCGGAAAGCCGGUCUCAGUUCGGAUUGGGGUUUGCAACUCGACCUCAUGAAGUCGGAGUCGCUAGUAAUCGCAGAUCAGCAACGCUGCGGUGAAAAAGUUCCCGGG